This is a non-coding RNA of Lepisosteus oculatus (spotted gar), 1419 nucleotides long. The record is from RefSeq and is a predicted model, not a curated record. NCBI's taxonomy places the organism in Eukaryota, Metazoa, Chordata, Actinopteri, Semionotiformes, Lepisosteidae.
GCUUAUUUCGUCGUCAGCAAAAAGGAAACUUUUAUUUCAGCAGAAAUAGUAAUUUAAAUAAAAACACAAAGACAGUUGGUAACUCGUGACCAGUUUGAAUUGAAACAGGAACUAACUUUGUUUUCCUCGGAGCAAUCUGCUGAGAAUAAUGUCACUGUGCGUCUUGUAAAUAGGCUUCAAACGGUGUUGGGUGAGUAUAAUCUCUGAAGGAGCGCUUCAAGCACAUCGCCUUGAUUCCAGAUGCUAUGGCUGUUGCACAGACAAAAUCAAAAACAACUUUGAUUUAAUCCCAGACAGUAGAUGUUCUGCCGUUUAAAAUGCGUCAUACUGCGUCUUUCAAAACGAUAGGGUCACAAAACAACAAUCGGAACACGACAUUUUUAUGAAGUCAAUCAUUGUGAAACGAAUGUACAUUGGCUAUUGUCAUGAUAUUCAGAAUGCGCACUUGUACUCGAAUAUGUACAAGUAAAGAUGGUUUAACUUUCCAAGAGUCGAGUUUGUUCCAUUUCUUUUAAACCUUCCAGCGUCAGAAAAUGCAAAUGAACCUUGAGUUAACACAGCGGGGCGUGCUAGUCACGGAGCAUGUAAAGCGACAGUAGGAAGGCAAAGAGAGAUCAGACAUCCUCUGGACUCGGCAGGGUCAUGCUCUGGCAGCAGGGUGUGGCCCCUCACUGGAGGUGGGUAGCACUCACAGGUCCACAUGGCACAUGGCAUGGAGGCAUCCUCCGCAGAGCUCUGGCAGCAGGGUCUAGCGGCUCAUGAGAGCGGUGUUGGACAGCCACUUCUGUCAGUCCCAACGCUCUGCUUCAUCACCGGCAUCAGGAGAACGGUGUGAAGCUCGACCUCCGAGGCACUGGGCGCAAGGGAGCUGUCCUACACUCAAGUCCUGCUUCCAUUCCCCUGGACUCUUCUUCCCCCUGCCAGCCUUCUCCUGUUCUCCAGCCUGUCCUGUUCUGACCUGCCCUGGGACUCUACUGGACCUGGACUGGAGUGAGCACAGCAUUCUGCUCGGUCUCUGACGUGCCUCCCCAUUCUGCCCUGACAGUGUGCCCUUGACCUGGGCUCAGGAGAAGAUCCCCUAUGAAGAGCACGUGCUCUGAUCAGCACAGUACCCUGUGUGCCGCAUGGUGGACUGCCCCAAGGUUCUACUCCCUGUCCUGCAAAGGUCCAAUUGCAGACUAACUAGCAGUGCCCUUCCCUGAGUUUCCCUUCCUGCAUUUGGCUCAGUGAAGCGCAGUCCAUUACGGAGUGCACCAGUCACUUCUCCUGGACUGGAAAGCCCUUGCUAUUGGGUCCAGAACAACUCCACUCCCAUUCUGGUGGGUAGUGUGGUGUAAGAAAUGGUCUGAUAAACAUAAUAUUUUUUUUCUUUGUGUGCUAAAAUGGUAUGUAAUCAUGUUUUGAUUAAAAAAAUAGUUA